This 375-nucleotide ribosomal RNA is filed under the name uncultured bacterium. RNAcentral describes it as "bacterial SSU rRNA". It matches the Rfam family "Bacterial small subunit ribosomal RNA", at positions 521 to 896 of the family's 1533-position model. The record is from RNAcentral.
UAAUACAGAGGGUGCAAGCGUUAAUCGGAGUUACUGGGCGUAAAGGGCGCGUAGGCGGUGAUAUGAGUGUGAUGUGAAAGCCCCGGGCUUAACCUGGGAAGCGCAUCGCAAACGAUAUGACUGGAGUAUAAGAGAGGGUGGCGGAAUUUCCGGUGUAGCGGUGAAAUGCGUAGAGAUCGGAAGGAACGUCAAUGGCGAAGGCAGCCACCUGGCUUAAUACUGACGCUGAGGCGCGAAAGCGUGGGGAGCGAACAGGAUUAGAUACCCUGGUAGUCCACGCUGUAAACGAUGAGAACUAGAUGUUGGUUGGGGAACCAAUCGGUAUCGAAGCUAACGCGAUAAGUUCUCCGCCUGGGAAGUACGGCCGCAAGGUUG